This 814-nucleotide long non-coding RNA is filed under the name Phoenix dactylifera (date palm). RNAcentral describes it as "long non-coding RNA (PDAC_LNC014698)". The record is from RNAcentral. Lineage: Eukaryota; Viridiplantae; Streptophyta; Magnoliopsida; Arecales; Arecaceae.
CCAGUUUGAUUGAUUUUCUUUAUUUUUUUGGUCGAGUCUAAUAUGUGCAGAUCAAGUCAAACUCAUUUGAGGCUCCCACGUUGCACUGCUUGAUCCCGUAUCACAUCCGUGGAUUUGUUUUCAUCUCGGUUGAAAUCAGCCAUUCAAGAAGUCAUCCCAUCAUCCACGUCAUCCUCAUCCAUGAAUUAAUUCCCCUGCUUUCCAUCUCGUGCACACUCUUUCCUUCCGUAUCCUUCUCAUCUUCCGCUUCUUCCAUGCGUCGGGCUCAUCACAUCCUCCCAACCAAGCCAAAUCAAAUCCACGAAUUAUCUCCCUUGCUCUACAUUCGCAUGGGAUCACCUCUGUCCAACGAACAGAGACCUCGUCCGUGGAUUCCUUCCACGUCUACGAACAAAGCCACAUCUUCUCCCGCUGGAUCCCAGCUUAUCCACAGAUAAGGUCACACAUCUUUUUCUGAUUCGGAAUUAUCUCCCGGCUUCAUCCCGUUCACAUUCCAUCGUCCACAAAUCCCGAUCCAGCCGUCCCUCACCUUCUCUUCAUCAUAGAUCAAAGAACAGAUUCCUUCUUUCGGAUUUCUCCGCAUCAACAUCCCGACCUCCCAUGCUAAUCCCGAGUGUUCUUCCUGACAUCCUGCUCGGACUAACUCCACGGACAAGCUUCUCCCCUGCUUCACAUCGCAGCCAUUCCAUGUCGUUCUCUCCGUAGAUCCCAUGAUCUUCGCACCCAGUUCCAUCUCCACGGGAUAAAAACAAAUCCCACAAACUUCCCAGAAUCCCAGCAACCCAUCUCAGCCGAGAACACAUCUGCGAUUCAA